UACGGGGGGGGCAAGCGUUGUUCGGAAUUACUGGGCGUAAAGGGCUCGUAGGCGGCCAACUAAGUCAGACGUGAAAUCCCUCGGCUUAACCGGGGAACUGCAUCUGAUACUGGAUGGCUUGAGAUUGGGAGAGGGAUGCGGAAUUCCAGGUGUAGCGGUGAAAUGCGUAGAUAUCAAGUGGAACACCAGUGGCGAAGGCGAGUCCCUGGAAAAUACCUGACACUGAGGCACGAAAGCUAGGGGAGCAAACAGG
RNAcentral lists this ribosomal RNA (253 nucleotides) under uncultured bacterium. RNAcentral describes it as "partial 16S ribosomal RNA". It matches the Rfam family "Bacterial small subunit ribosomal RNA", at positions 524 to 776 of the family's 1533-position model. The record is from RNAcentral.